AUUGAACGCUGGCGGCAUGCUUUACACAUGCAAGUCGAACGGCAGCGCGGGCUUCGGCCUGGCGGCGAGUGGCGAACGGGUGAGUAAUGCAUCGGAACGUGCCCAGUAGUGGGGGAUAGCCCGGCGAAAGCCGGAUUAAUACCGCAUACGACCUGAGGGUGAAAGCGGGGGACCGAAAGGCCUCGCGCUAUUUGAGCGGCCGAUGUCGGAUUAGCUAGUUGGUGGGGUAAAGGCUUACCAAGGCGACGAUCCGUAGCUGGUCUGAGAGGACGACCAGCCACACUGGGACUGAGACACGGCCCAGACUCCUACGGGAGGCAGCAGUGGGGAAUUUUGGACAAUGGGGGCAACCCUGAUCCAGCCAUGCCGCGUGCGGGAAGAAGGCCUUCGGGUUGUAAACUGCUUUUGUUCGGGAAGAAAUCCUCUGGGCUAAUACCCCGGGGGGAUGACGGUACCGGAAGAAUAAGCACCGGCUAACUACGUA
RNAcentral lists this ribosomal RNA (484 nucleotides) under uncultured bacterium. RNAcentral's name for it is "partial 16S ribosomal RNA". It matches the Rfam family "Bacterial small subunit ribosomal RNA", at positions 29 to 507 of the family's 1533-position model. The record is from RNAcentral.